AUGAGUCUCCUUGUUUGGAACUGCCGGGGGGCGGGGAACCGCCGGACAGUUCGAGAGGUGCUGGCCCUCGUAAAAGCUAACGUCCCCAGUUUUGUCUUUCUUAGCGAGACAAGACAAGUGUCGGAGAAGAUGGAGAAACUAAAGUGGAGACUUGGUAUGAAGGGAUUUUGUGAAGGUCGGAGCGGUGGGUUAGCUUUGUUUUGA
This 204-nucleotide ribosomal RNA is filed under the name Triticum aestivum (bread wheat). RNAcentral's name for it is "partial small subunit ribosomal RNA". Lineage: Eukaryota; Viridiplantae; Streptophyta; Magnoliopsida; Poales; Poaceae. The record is from RNAcentral.